AUGAUCUCCAGCACUGUCCUGAUCACUGCACUGGUGCUGCGUCUCACAGGUCUGGAUGCACUUGUGCUGAAACAGCAGAAAUCUCUUUCUGUGUCUCCCAGACAUACUGCUAAAAUAUCCUGUGUCAUGACUGGUGGCAGCGUAAGUAGCUGGACUAUUUCCUGGUAUCAGCAGAAGUCUGGCAGUGUUCCUCGAUACCUUCUGUAUGGCAUAAGUCAUGCUUCUGGAGUGCCAGACCGGUAUACAGGCUCUGAAGAUUCUUCCACUCAGAGUGCCUCUCCCCCCUCUUUGACCCUGCUGCCUCCCUCCGGGGAGGAGCAGUCUACCCGCAGCAAAGCCACACUGGUAUGUCUGGCGCAGGGGUUCUACCCGGGCUCAGUGACCGUGACGUGGAUGGUGGACGGACAGCCUAAGACGGGGAGUGAGGUCCAGACCAGUGAGCUUGAGCAGCUGCCUGAUGGAUACUUCCAGCUCAGCAGCUUCCUGUCUCUGCCAGCGUCUCAGUGGACCUCUGGCAAGACAUACUCCUGCCAGCUCCGCCACGAGGCUCUGUCCUCCCCCCUGGAGAAGAAUGUCAGGAGCUCAGACUGCAUCUAGAACUGGGGAGGAGCAGUGCACUGCAGGAGUCA
This is a non-coding RNA of Polyodon spathula (Mississippi paddlefish), 629 nucleotides long. NCBI's taxonomy places the organism in Eukaryota, Metazoa, Chordata, Actinopteri, Acipenseriformes, Polyodontidae. The record is from the annotation of a RefSeq genome assembly.